RNA transcript from Triplophysa rosa, 5548 nucleotides. It is a transcript of the gene named ADAM metallopeptidase domain 23a, with no coding region annotated. NCBI's taxonomy places the organism in Eukaryota, Metazoa, Chordata, Actinopteri, Cypriniformes, Nemacheilidae. The record is from RefSeq and is a predicted model, not a curated record. The transcript is spliced from 27 exons.
CUUACGGUGCGAGAUGCUUGGCCACCGCCUUCCAUCCAUCCGCGCUGCCACCCCUUCGCCUUCUUCCUAGUCCUCCCCACCCCUCAGCAUCCCGACCGCGUUACCCACCCCUCAGCAUCCGAUGCUGCAUGAAGGAUUUCCCCCUCUUCUUGCGGGAUACGCGAAGAUAUUUAACGCUCUCACAAUAAUGGACUGCGUCGCUCGUUGUGAAUUAAAGCUCUGAUGACAUUUUAUUCAGCUUUCAAAUAUGAAUCAUGCAUCUGGUAUUCAAUCUGUGUCUGCUCGGUUGCAUAUUUAUUUCCGUGCUGUCUUCUAUUGCCACGACCUCAACGGGUUCCAGCUCUUUGCAGUAUGAAGAACUCAGGGAUCGGCACGAGUCUGACACUCCGCGAGCCACAGCAGCAGCGCCGGGCAAUUUCACAGGAAGAAAAACGGGAGAGCGCGAGAUCACGAUCACAUAUCCCUCGCGGCUCUUAUACUACCUGAACGAAGACUCGGAGAGCGCGUAUCAUGACCUGGACACUCGCACGCGGAAUCAGGCCGGUGAUGGACAGCAUGUCCACCUGGCCCAAGCAAGUUUCCAGCUGGAAGGUUUUGGCUCCACCUUUACACUGGACCUGACUCUGAACAAUGAUUUGUUGUCAUCAGACUAUAUGGAGAUCCACUAUGAGAAAGACAAGCCGGUUCUCUCUAGGGGCGGUGAACACUGCUACUACCACGGCCAGGUGAGAGGACAGGAGGACUCCCAUGUAGCUUUGUCCACCUGCGACGGGCUGCAUGGGAUGUUUGAUGAUGGUAAUUUCGUCUAUCUCAUCGAGCCUCUGAAACAGACUCACACCGUGGAAACAGAAGCACGGCCACACACUUUGCAGCGAACAUCAUCGCUGCGCAUGACCUCUGCCCCUGCUGAUUGGGCUGCUGAUGACCCAGUUGAGGAAACAGAAGAGGAGAAACAGAUUUUCGCUAGCAUGCCUUGGUUGAAGAGGAGAAGGAAAAGAGCCAUGCCAAGAAACAUUUUUGAAGAAAUGAAAUAUCUGGAAAUAAUGAUCGUCGCUGACCACAACACGUUUAAAAGGCAUAAGAGUAAGAAGCAUACCCGGAACUCGGCCAAAUCUGUGGUCAACCUGGUAGAUGCUAUUUUUAAGGAACAGCUGAAUACACGUGUGGUAUUGGUUGCCGUGGAGAUCUGGACGGACAGGGACAGGAUUCCACUCAGCGUGAAGCCGCUGGAAAUGUUGCGAGAUUUUUCAAAGUACAAACAGCAAAGCAUCAACAUCAAUGCUGAUGCAGUUCACUUGUUUACCAAUGUGACAUUUCAUUACGGUCGGAGCAGUGUUGCAUACAUCGGCGGCGUGUGUUCCAAAGGAAGAGGAGUUGGUGUCAAUGAGUUUGGCAGCACAUGGACAAUGGCUGGUUCGCUCUCUCAGAGUUUAGCCCAGAAUCUGGGUAUCCAAUGGGAUCCUGUGAUCAGGAGGAAGGAAUGCGGCUGUAUGGACUCAUGGGUGGGAUGUAUAAUGGAGGACACUGGAGUGCAACACCCACGCAGGUUUUCCAAAUGCAGCAUCAGUGACUACAGAAAUUACCUUUUAAGAGGGGGAGCGUCGUGUCUAUUUAACAAACCCAACAAGCUCUUUGAGGCUACAGAAUGUGGGAAUGGUUAUGUAGAAGUGGGAGAGGAGUGUGACUGUGGAGCCCGAGUGGAGUGCUAUAAAGACUGCUGUAAAAAAUGUUCUUUGUCCAAUGGUGCUCACUGCAGCGAUGGCCCCUGCUGCAAUGGCACUUGCCUGUUUUACCCGCGGGGAUACAGCUGCCGAUAUGCAGUGAAUGAUUGUGACAUAUCAGAGACUUGUUCAGGAGACUCAGGACAGUGCCCUCCUAAUCUUCAUAAACAAGAUGGCUACUCUUGUCAACUCAAUCAGGGCCGAUGUUACAGUGGUGAAUGUAAGACCCGGGACGGUCAGUGCAAAUACAUCUGGGGGACAAAGUCGGAAGGGUCAGAGAAGCACUGCUAUGAAAAGUUAAAUACAGAAGGGACCGAAAAAGGGAAUUGUGGAAAAGAUGGAGACAAAUGGAUAACCUGCAGCAAACACGAUGUGUUCUGUGGGUACCUACUGUGCAGUAAUAUUGGCAGAAGCCCAAGGAUUGGAACACUGAAAGGUGACAUCACUCCAACCACCUUUAACCAUCAGGGUAGACUGGUGGACUGCAGUGGUGGACAUGUUCUGUUAGAUGAUGAUACUGAUUUGGGGUAUGUAGAAGAUGGGACGCCGUGUGGGCCCUCUAUGAUGUGCCUUGAGCGGAAAUGUCUACCUAUCUCCUCCCUGAACCUCACAGCUUGUCCGUCUGGCCCAGGCGGCCGAGUCUGCUCUUCUCAUGGCGUGUGCAAUAAAGAAGCCACCUGCACCUGUGAUGCUACCUGGGCUGGAACUGACUGCAGCAUGCACGACCCCCCAAAAGAGCCACCUAUCAUCGAGGACCCGGGCCCUAAGGUGAGCGUGGCCACAAACAGGCUGAUAGGGGCAGUGGCAGGGACCAUUCUGGCCCUGGGGGUGAUUUUUGGAGGCACAGGGUGGGGAAUAGAGUCCUAGCGCCACCAACCUUAUCAUAGGCUCCAUCGCAGGGGCCAUCCUGAUGGCAGCCAUAGUGCUGGGGGGUACGGGAUGGGGAUUUAAGUAAGAGCUACACCGCAUGCUUCCUACUGCCUGCCAGCCUGGAACAGGCUAACUCACAUAAACACACACUUUUGAAUAAAAACAUGCAACACAUACAACUACGCACUCACAUGCACACACACACACAUUCACACAAGGGCCUGGGCUUCUGCUACAGACAACAGAUAUUGAAAUAGUAGUGAACUGAUGAAGAUUGUACCCGUUAAGCUGCAUGCUGUGCUUAGUAUUAUAUCAUGUUUAAAUAGUCAGUUUUGUUGUCAUUUUGUCAAAUUAAAACCAAGGUUGACUGUACAACUGUAUGUGGUUCGCACACAACAGCUCAGAAAGUUACUUGCCGAUGUUUGUAACCACUUAGCCAAUUGAGUAAUAGAGUCACGAAAAUAAUACCCAAGCCCAUCUUUGGUACACGUCCUGAAAAAGGCAUGGUUACGCAUUUGCUGAUACACUCUGUUGACUGUAGCAGAACCUCUUGCAGACCGGCCCAACGCUUGACAUGCAUGUGAGCAAAAUGGUUAAAUAGAUACUGAGCAAGAUGUGUAAUGACAGUUAUGAAAUUACAACAAUAUAAAAGAAAAGGUUGUUGUGUAGCCUGUUUUUGCUAACAAUUCAAACGUGUAAAAUAUCAAUAUGCUAUGAAUUGUACCAAGGUGGGAAUUGUUAGAGAAUGUUACCUUGUUUGCUCCAAGAAUCAAGCAAAUGCAGCUCAAGUUUUGCAAAAUGAUGUGUGUGCGACAGGGAACGUCAAAUAGGAGUGUAACUUUACAAUUUACAUUUGGUCUCAAAAUAUCUGUAGAUUACAGUUUUUAACAUAGAUUGCAAGAUUUUUCUAAAAUGUAGGUGAAAGUGGACAUGUAACAUAAUUUAUUGUUCACAAUGGCAUGUUUGUGGCCAGCAUAGACCCAUAUUCAUCCACUUAAGCUACUAGGAAGAAGUACUGGAGAGCUAGCCUUGAGACCUGGUGACCAUUCAUACUUUUAGAGGACCACAGCAUGCUUGUUUGCACAUAGCAUCUUGACUGAGCCCAUUUAGAGUUUGCAUGUGAACUGGCACAAAGCCAGAGCUAAACCGGAGUGCUAUCAGAGCAUCGCACAAAGGCUGGGCUCACCUCAUGUGAAGGGAGGGGUAUUUAUUUAUUUCCUUGGUUUGAGAAGGGGAUUCUGUUGGGGUGGGUUGUUGGGUUGGGAUGACCAGUUUUUGUUUAUCCGCUCUCCUCGCCGUGAUCUCUCUCUCAAUCCCCCCUCCGUUGUCUAAAAGGGUGAGAGUUUGAGCGGAGAGGGGUGGAGGUUGUGUCGUAGGCAGCCUUUGUGCCAUGGCUGGCUGCCACGCCCUCUUAUCUCCCGGAAGGCCCUGGGCCCCCCGAAAUCCUAGAACAGAGCAAGAGCCCUCACCCCCCACCCGGACUCGCCAGGCACCGCUGCCUUUACUGCCUGCUUCACAGAGACCUGAAAUGUCAAGAAAAGACGAUAUGACCCUAACGCCAGUGCCAUCUAAAGACUUUGAGAACUGCAUCCUUGCCUUGUGUGCCCCUUGGUUCUGUUAGAACCUGCUGGACUGUACCUUCUCCUGCUGCUAGCUCCGCCGCUGAAGGAGUUAGCGUUACUUGAAUCAAAUGAUGAAAGAAUGCAAGGGAAGACGAACGUUUGAACAUUUUCUAGUCAAAGUCACAUAGAACUGCUUCUUUAGAGUCGCCCGUGUCCCUUCGCCCUCUGACCUUGAGCAUCCAUGCUGAGCCACUAGCAACCCAAACAAAUGACUGAGUGGAUGGUUCCCGCUCAUCGGGGCAUGACUUCCUGUUUACACGCUGUGGUCUCCGGUUCUGAUCUCAGCAUGAGCAGCUUCAGCAGUGGACCUCGCAUGGCAGAGGAGGGACACCAAUGCAAGAAUACCGUUUCAGAGAAAAAAGACGGUUUCAGAACACAGGUCCCGUAGGUCACAGUUCCAGUAGGUGGGUGAGCACGUCCAUGUGUUUUGAGGGGCUGAAUGUGCUAGAAGAGGCACCCAUAUCUUCUUCUACAAACAUUUCAAGGCAUAAAUAAACAUUUUGUUUGUUUCUUUUGUUAUUUCCGCAUGUUAUAUUGCCGGCAUUUUUUGUAGAAUUAAUUCAACUAUUCAAUCGAGAUGAAAAAGGAUCCAAUUGGCCAGCAGCCUAUGAAGCUGCAUGAUAAAAUGACCUUUGAACUCCAGAGUCUUAUGUAUGCCUGAUGACGUCAAUUCCCCUUAAAUAAACUAUUAUUCUUCCGGCUGGGCCCUGUAGGACUGCCCUGACCUGAAUGCCGUUACUGGCCAAUCAGAAAGCUGCAUGAUGUAAUUGCACUGGGGGCAGAGCCCACACAGCCUGCCGCGCUUUUUAAGGUAUCUGCAUGUCAAAGGAAAAACAGUUAACAUUUACUUACUAUGCAAAGGGGAAACAUUGUACAAACCUUAAGGUUUGCUAAAGAAUUCUCAAAUGAGACUAAAAAUGAAUUUGAUCUCAAGUUAACAGAUUAUUAUUAUUAUUAGGCAGUCUUUUAUAUGCUCGGCCAUCUAUGUUUGACAUUAUAGUAAGCUUAUGAUUACUUCAAAUGAAUGUUUCUAUGAAAAUCUCAGCUUCUAAAAAUGAAAAUGUCAUUUGUCAUUUCCGUGGGACGGUAUAAUUCAGGCACUUGUGAAAUUAAUUGAUACUAUUCAUAGAAUGGGGCUAUUGACGUAGAGGGAGCUCUAAUUUUGGGCUGAAAUAAGAGCAGAGAGAAAAAGAGUGUUUUUCUAAACCAUCAUUGACUGACACUAUCAGGUUUCUGAACUCAUCUUCUUAACACUGUCCCCUUUGAAAACCAUCUCAUGUUCCCAUGGAAACAUUGCCAAAAAAUAAUAUAAUAAAGAACUUUACAAAAACGCUA